CCUACGGGAGGCAGCAGUGAGGAAUAUUGGACAAUGGGCGCAAGCCUGAUCCAGCCAUGCCGCGUGCAGGAUGACGGUCCUAUGGAUUGUAAACUGCUUUUGUACAGGAAGAAACAGUUCUACGUGUAGAACCUUGACGGUACUGUAAGAAUAAGGAUCGGCUAACUCCGUGCCAGCAGCCGCGGUAAUACGGAGGAUCCAAGCGUUAUCCGGAAUCAUUGGGUUUAAAGGGUCCGUAGGCGGUCUAGUAAGUCAGUGGUGAAAGCCCAUCGCUCAACGGUGGAACGGCCAUUGAUACUGCUAGACUUGAAUUAUUAGGAAGUAACUAGAAUAUGUAGUGUAGCGGUGAAAUGCUUAGAGAUUACAUGGAAUACCAAUUGCGAAGGCAGGUUACUACUAAUGGAUUGACGCUGAUGGACGAAAGCGUGGGUAGCGAACAGGAUUAGAUACCCUGGUAGUCCACGCCGUAAACGAUGGAUACUAGCUGUUGGAAGCAAUUUCAGUGGCUAAGCGAAAGUGAUAAGUAUCCCACCUGGGGAGUACGUUCGCAAGAAUGAAACUCAAAGUAGUAAUUGACGAGNGAGAGACGACGACGACGACGACGGAGGGAGGAGG
Molecule: ribosomal RNA, 615 nt
Filed under: uncultured bacterium
Lineage: Bacteria
Description: bacterial SSU rRNA
Rfam family: Bacterial small subunit ribosomal RNA
Source: RNAcentral